GACCUCAAAUGGUUUUGGGGAAGAAGUUUUCUAGUAGAACCAAUGAGGGCAGAUCUCAUUUGCAUGAAAGGAGAAAUCAAGAGGCAUUUAAGGGAAGGAAGGGAGAAGAUCUGAAGAAGGUUAUAAUUUCUUUCCCUAAAAGAAUAUUCCUUGCCAAAGUUGACCAUGAGUUGGGCUGUGAUUUUCUUAGCACUCCUCACUUACUGCACAGGCAUCGAUGGUCAGUCCACUUGGACUCAGCCUCCCUCCAGCUCCGUGUCCCUGGGUGAAACCAUCACACUCUCCUGUUUAACAACUCAGAGUUCCUACAGCAUUGGCUGGUAUCAACAGGAACCAGGAAAAGGCCCUCGUUUUGUCCACUGUGAUGGCUGCAACAGGGGAGAAGGGAUCCCAAAUCGGUUCACUGCCACCAGAUCUGGGAGUACAGGAUCUCUGGCCAUCACCAAUGUGGAGGCUGAAGACGAAGGAAUUUAUUAUUGUGGUAGCCGGAACAGUGCAGGCAACGCGUUCCACAGUGAUUAAUUCUUAUGGGGAAGU
This is a non-coding RNA of Pantherophis guttatus, 537 nucleotides long. NCBI's taxonomy places the organism in Eukaryota, Metazoa, Chordata, Lepidosauria, Squamata, Colubridae. The record is from the annotation of a RefSeq genome assembly.